This 346-nucleotide ribosomal RNA is filed under the name uncultured bacterium. RNAcentral's name for it is "bacterial SSU rRNA". It matches the Rfam family "Bacterial small subunit ribosomal RNA", at positions 29 to 363 of the family's 1533-position model. The record is from RNAcentral.
AACGAACGCUGGCGGCGUGCCUAACACAUGCAAGUCGAACGCGAAAGUCCUUCGGAUGAGUAAAGUGGCGCACGGGUGAGUAACACGUAGGUGACCUGCCUUUUAGAGGGGAAUAACCAGAAGAAAUUUUGGCUAAUGCCGCAUACGAAGAACAAAUAUACUAGUAGUUCUUGAAAGGAUGCCUCUGUAUAUGCAUCCACUAAAAGAUGGGCCUGUGGGACACUAGCUAGUUGGUGGGGUAAUAGGCCUACCAAGGCGACGAUGUCUAUCCGGUCUGAGAGGAUGAUCGGACACACUGGAACUGAGACACGGUCCAGACUCCUACGGGAGGCAGCAGUGGGGAAUC